This is a non-coding RNA of Rhineura floridana, 1250 nucleotides long. Lineage: Eukaryota; Metazoa; Chordata; Lepidosauria; Squamata; Rhineuridae. The record is from the annotation of a RefSeq genome assembly.
AAGACUCUGGUGAGGCAGCUCGUCUUCUCUGAAUGUUGCAAUCAGAUGGUGGAGAGACCCCGAGGAACAGCAGCUUUAAUUGCUGAGGGUCCAUUUUUGAACCCGGGACAGCUCUGAAUCGGUUGGAUCUAGACGGACCAAUCCUCACCAUGCUCUUUGCUUCAUCAUUGAUUGCAUUGUUGGCUUUAGCUUCAAGAGUCCUUCAAUGCAAAGCUGAGAAGAUCGAGCAAGAUCCCCUUGUGAUAUCCUCUGAUGGAAGAAAGCUAGACCUCUCUUGCAACCACUCCUCUGCUACAACAGCUAGUACAAUCUUUUGGUACCGGCAGCUCCCCAACAAGCCUCCCACUUUGAUGGUCUAUGGACAUCUUUCAGGAGAGAAGAGUAGCGAUCCAGAGGGGGUCUUGCUUCUCACCAAAGACCGUAAAGGCAGCAUUUUCUCCUUUACCAGCGUGACCUUGAAUGAUUCUGCAACGUACUACUGUGCACUGAGUGACACAGUGCUACACUCUGGUGUCUCUCCUGUGCAAUAACUCCUGCAUUCUGGCUCUGAAGGAAGGCUUAGAGGUCAAUGAAAACACAUCACUGUUUUCUCCCUGCAGAGAAGGCUGUUAGGAAUCACGGCAGGGAGAAUGUUGUUGCACUCAGUUGCUGCUUGAGGGCCUUCCGUGGGCACCUGGAUGGCCACUGUGAGAACAGAAUGCUAGACUAGAUGAACGUCUGACCUGAUCCAGCAGGCUCUUCUCUUCUUUUGUUCAGGGUAACAAAGACAAAGUUCAACCAAGGCCAUUGACAACCAUUUGAAAGUUUUCCUUGACCCACUACACUCAAGACUGUCUAAAAUUGGGAACAUGGGCUGGAAAGUCUUGGCAGCUCCAGAUACAGCUAGAAACCUCCUAGCAUCUAGUCCGGAAAACUCAUCUCACAGUGGCCAAAUAGGUGCCUUUGGUCUUUAUGGCCACUGUUUGCCCCCAUAAGUAAGGAAGAACAUGAACUGGAGUCAGCUACUGACUUUGACAGAUGUCCACAAGAUGAGAUGUUUGGGCUCUCCACCAUCCUAUCUAGAAUUCUGGUCUGGAAGCUCUCAGCACCCUGUAUAAAAUCAUACUAAAUUUUGAGACUUAUGUUAACGUUUGGUUGUUGUGUAUUAGGUUUUUGCAAACUACCCUGUGACUAUUUUUGGUGAAGGAUGGAAAAUAAACAAGUAAAUAAAUAAUUCCUGCAUUAAGCAGGGGGUUGAACUUGAUGGUUUU